UCCAUCUUCCACCAUGGAAUGGCACAACUUCCAACUCUCGUGACAGUUAUCUUCUAUUCAGAAAACAAUCCACAAGCAUAUUUGCAUAGCACUUUUCAUGUGUUUUUUCUCCAGAAUUGUUUCCUUCUUUCUUUGAAGACUUAACUUAGAAUGAAAAAGGCUCUGUGUGAAAGGCACACCAAGGACACUCAGAUCCCAAGCCUUCGCUUCUUGGAGCUCGACCUAGCUUUAGUCUACCUGGCCAUGUCUGAUUCAUCCUGCAAAAUCCGUUCAAACAGACUUCUAUGAAGAUUCUGGGACCCCUUAUAAGAGUGACAGUGAACCUUUUAGAGACUGAGUGUCCAAACUGCAAUCCAAAACCCACUUACUUAUCAGAAAGUGGCAACAGUGCAAUUAAACCUGUAUGUUGGACAGUUUGUAAUAACUAAAACUUGGAAACAGCCCAAAUGCCCAUCAACUGGAGACUGGAUAAAGAAAAUGUGGGGUUUUUUUUAUAAAAUGGAGUACUACUCAGCCAUCAAAAAGAGAAAUUAGAGACAUUUAUUGUUAAAUGGAUGCACAUUGAGGCAAUACUCUUUUUUUUUUUUUUUUUUUUUUUUUGGUACCAGGGAUCAAACUCGGGUCCUUGCACUUGCACAGCAGGUGGUGAAAUCACUGAGCUAAAUCCCCAGCCCAAGGUGAUACUCUUAAGUGAAAUAAAUAGGAUACACAUGUGUAAAUACCUAAUAGUUUCUCUAGUGUGAGAAACUGAAAGUGUAAAUAAGGACUAAAAGGAUAAUAGAUAAUGUGAAAUAGGAAGAAAAAGGGCAAAGGGGAAGGGGAAGUGGGAGGGGUAGGGGAAAGGAAAGAAGGGAAUGGAAUUAAUAUGAGAAAAUGAAAAAAAGGAAACAAAGUCUUUGUAAAUAGGGAGGGGUGGAGGGGUUGAAGGGAGGGCAG
Molecule: long non-coding RNA, 936 nt
Filed under: Heterocephalus glaber (naked mole-rat)
Lineage: Eukaryota; Metazoa; Chordata; Mammalia; Rodentia; Bathyergidae
Description: lncRNA (ENSHGLG00100045441.1)
Source: RNAcentral